RNAcentral lists this transfer RNA (73 nucleotides) under Cricetulus griseus (Chinese hamster). It matches the Rfam family "tRNA". Rfam says of the family: Transfer RNA (tRNA) molecules are approximately 80 nucleotides in length. Their secondary structure includes four short double-helical elements and three loops (D, anti-codon, and T loops). Further hydrogen bonds mediate the characteristic L-shaped molecular structure. tRNAs have two regions of fundamental functional importance: the anti-codon, which is responsible for specific mRNA codon recognition, and the 3' end, to which the tRNAs corresponding amino acid is attached (by aminoacyl-tRNA synthetases). tRNAs cope with the degeneracy of the genetic code in two manners: having more than one tRNA (with a specific anti-codon) for a particular amino acid; and 'wobble' base-pairing, i.e. permitting non-standard base-pairing at the 3rd anti-codon position. Lineage: Eukaryota; Metazoa; Chordata; Mammalia; Rodentia; Cricetidae. The record is from Rfam by way of RNAcentral.
GCCUGGCUAGCUCAGUUGGUAAAGCAUGAGACUCUUAAUUUCAGGGUCAAGGGUUUGUGACCCACGUUGGGCG